GCAGCUGAAGGACAUGAAGAUGCCUCCGCCAAAGGACCAGAAGAACGUCAAGUUCAGCCUGCCUGCCGCCGACGAGUUCGACGACGAGGGGAGCGACUUCGACGAUGAGUACGACGAUGAAUAUGAUGAUGACGAAGAUUUUGAUGAUCUUGAAGGUAUGGAUGACGAUUUUGAUGAUGACCCCAAGCAGAAGCUGAAACCGAUAGCGUUUCCUCCAAUGGGCGAUGGUAAGAAGGAUGGCGGCGGUGCUCCUAAGGGUGCAGGUGG
RNAcentral lists this unclassified non-coding RNA (267 nucleotides) under Hevea brasiliensis (rubber tree). Lineage: Eukaryota; Viridiplantae; Streptophyta; Magnoliopsida; Malpighiales; Euphorbiaceae. The record is from RNAcentral.